AGCGAACGCUGGCGGCAGGCUUAACACAUGCAAGUCGAGCGGGCACUUCGGUGUCAGCGGCAGACGGGUGAGUAACACGUGGGAACGUACCCUUUGGUUCGGAAUAACGCUGGGAAACUAGCGCUAAUACCGGAUACGCCCUUUUGGGGAAAGGCUUGCUGCCGAAGGAUCGGCCCGCGUCUGAUCAGCUAGUUGGUGGGGUAAUGGCCUACCAAGGCGACGAUCAGUAGCUGGUCUGAGAGGAUGAUCAGCCACACUGGGACUGAGACACGGCCCAGACUCCUACGGGAGGCAGCAGUGGGGAAUAUUGGACAAUGGGCGCAAGCCUGAUCCAGCCAUGCCGCGUGAGUGAUGAAGGCCUUAGGGUUGUAAAGCUCUUUUGUCCGGGACGAUAAUGACGGUACCGGAAGAAUAAGCCCCGGCUAACUUCGUG
Molecule: ribosomal RNA, 433 nt
Filed under: uncultured bacterium
Lineage: Bacteria
Description: partial 16S ribosomal RNA
Rfam family: Bacterial small subunit ribosomal RNA
Source: RNAcentral